This 3110-nucleotide long non-coding RNA is filed under the name Sorghum bicolor (sorghum). RNAcentral describes it as "long non-coding RNA (SBIC_LNC016185)". The record is from RNAcentral. Lineage: Eukaryota; Viridiplantae; Streptophyta; Magnoliopsida; Poales; Poaceae.
AAGUAUUCGAGUUAUCACCUUUGCCGAUAGCAAGGUCAAAUCGGCUGGCACGCCUUAACGUUUGAGUCGGGUAUUAGCCCUUUGUGUUUGCAGAUCAGUUUUGCAUCAACAGCUAUGCAUAUGAGUUGUGCAACCAUAACACUGGGGUGUUACAGUUAUCCUUUUCCUUUCAACUAUUCAAUUAUAGUUUGCUUAGUUAAUCAGGUUCAUAUCAUCUCGAAAAGAAAAUAAAAAUGUUAAAAAUAGUAAGCCCCAUGUGAGUAUGCUCAUGGCAUAAAACCCAUAGGUACAUUCACUGUGGUGGCAUAAAAUAAAUAUGUUUUCAUCUUACAAUAAAAAUAUAAAAAUAAUAAGUGCAUGAUCCUACUAAAUAAAUAACAUUUAUUGAGGAGGCUCAACAUGAUAAAGGCUAGAUAUUUAUGCUAACACUUAACCAGUUCCACAAAGCCUUGUUGUCUAUUUGAGCUCCAUAGAAUUCAAGGAUCAAAAAAGACUAGCAGACGGAGGACAUCCUAAUCGCUGUCACGGUGCUGCCAACUUUCAAAUACACCUCCACCACCUGCUAGCUACAUCAGAAGAAAUUACGUCAAAAUCCAGCUUGGGGGAGAGCACCCCCAUUUAUCCAGCUAAGUAUUUCUACUCGCAUUUAUACUUUACUCAAAUAAUAAAAGAUGCAUAAUCAUGAAAACCCAAUUAAAGAUUUUGUGCUUUUAUAUAUAUAUCUUUGCUUAGUUUGCUGAAUAAAUAAAUAAAUAAAGUUUGCUAUGAACCCUCAUGAUAAACUCUCACGUGGAAAUGAUGAAUAGUUGCUCUACCAUGACUAGUUCUUAAAACUGAAAUCUCUCUCAAGUUUAUGCAUGACUGUUAUGAAGUAAGAUUUGCUCUAAACCUGAACUUGUGGGAAGAGUACUUGAUCUAAAGUCUAAGUUGUUAACGGAUAUGAUAUGGGAAGGUUGAGCUGCUGUUUAUCUGUUCGUAGAGAUGCUAGAAUUCUAGAGAAUUUUGUCAUUGAAAAUGUUUAAAAUAACACAUGAUGAGUUCUUAUAUGAUGAGAGUUUAAAUUCCUACCACAGCCAUAUUUACAUGCUUGCUAGACUUUGAGCCACACAUUUACUUUUUACUGCUUAUGAGCAUUGAGUGUGGUCAAGCUGUGUAGACCCUUAGAAGCUUGUCAUGUGGUUAUAAUCAAGAUUCACUUGCACAUUCACUCACACAUGCUGCUUCUACUCCGGAAGUACGCAUCCACAUACAUCCACUCAAUUCCAUCUCCAGAUUCAUCUAAAAUUAUUCUACUCCUAAUCCGGGAGAGAAUAGCCAAAAACAUUUUCCUAUCCCUGUUAUUCCCUGUGAAAUAAAUGCUCCAGUUAUUUUGGUUACUACCACUUGCUACAUUAUUUCAGGAGAUGAGUGCUCUAAAAAAAAUAGAAAGAAAAAAAAAGAGAAAAAAAAAUAUACGAGGAGAUAAAAAGGGGCAAGUGCCCGGAACCUCGAAGAAAAGAAAAAGUGAGACGAGAGGUAAAAAUGGACAAGUGUCCGACAGUAGAAUUAGGGGUACAAGAUACCCACCUGAGAGGAAAGAAAAAGAAAAUAUAGAGCAUCUCAUUCUCCCUAAAAAACUUCAAAGUGCAAGAAAGGUAUGUAUCCCCUUAAAAGAGCAAAAAUAGAAUUAGACUUUCACCAUUGUUAUCACCAUCAUCACCAUACACCAUUCAUUCGCCACACAUGCACAUCUUGAUUUGACUUAUUGACUUGUUUCUCUGGAUCCAUGGUUUGACUAUGCAAUAAAUGUCUUGUAAGUAUGUAUUAGCUGUCUCCCACCUAUGAGCUCCAGAUAUCAAAACCUUAUUAGAGUAGGGUGAGAGAGAAGGCAUAUCACUAUGCAUUAUACCAAAAAUACCACAUACUUUGAGAGAAGGCAUAUACCAUUACUGCCUUAGUAAGGGUCUAGAAAUACCACAAAAGAGAGAUUUGAGAGAAUCAUAUAAGGAAUCUCUGAGUUUUAUUUGAAAAUCUGCAAAAACUCCAGAGCUAUAGCUGAUCAAGAAUAAGAGACAUGGCGUUUGACUUGACCGUUCUAUCUUUUGACUACUCAAGACACAAGUGACGGUUACAAGCCUCAUGGUGAAAGGUAAAAUGAGUAAGUUUUAAGUCUUAACAGUUUAUUCUAACUCAGAGAUGAGAUCUUGCUUGAAUGCGUGUGUACUUUUAAGGCAUGAAACCACUGCAGAAACUCUUAAGUCGUGCUCAGGGACGAGCAAGAGGUAAGCUUGGGGGAGUUGUUGACGGUCCUUAAGUACCAAAUAUAAUCAUCAAAUAAAUAAAUAAAAGGAUCCAAAUGCAACCAACACUCAGACUUAGGGUUUUAUCUGAUAGAAUUCCACGAGUUUUGGUGUUUGUCUAUUUCUGCAGGGGGUUAUCAGGAAAUACGGAAGAAAGGCCAACAUGUCGGGAUUACAUAGAGAUAUCAAUGCACCGCACAAUUUUCUACCGUCUAGAAGACUCCAGAAGCCAUGGGAAGGAAGCGGAGGCUAAAAGGACCCAGAGGCAGGGCGCCCGCCCUCCUCCCUGGGCGCCCACCCUGACUUGGAGUCCAAACAGGACUCUCUUCGGGGAUUACUCUCCACCGACCUAAAGGAUCAAGGAUAACCGUCCAAUCAAUGUCGGUUUGAUCUGACGGCCCAGGUUCACUUGAGGGGACUAUAAAACCAGACCCCCUGGCCCCUGGAGGAGACAAGUUUUUGAUAGAGCUGAGAGGAGCCCUUGAAGGAAUACCCCUUCUCUAAAUAAAAUUUAUUUUAGGCUUAGCAUCCAAUGUGAGUAGAAUUAGAUCUUCUAGUUUCUACUAGAUUGAGAGAGAUAGAGUGGAGGUGUAGAUUGGAGGAAGGCCGGCCUGUCGGUGUCUACUCCGAGGUUGUACCUGCGGGAUCAAGUCUUCUAACCCGAGGCUUGCUCCAAAGAUUCUUUAGUAAUUCGACUUCUAAUUCUAGUAAGUUCUUGUUUUAUUGUUCUUUGGUUUAUGAGUUUACUUUAAUCCUCUUCCGGUUGAGUAUUAGAGUAAUCAUUGCUAGCGUAAACGUGGUGUUUAGGCUAGGGUACUCAUAGAUAUCCCC